GCCCUCGUGAGCUUUGGAAAGGUUACUCCAGAACAUAAGCAAGAAGUUGAGAAGUUUGAGUUGAUAAGAUAUUCAUGGGAUGAAUUUUUUGAAGUGGUGAGUUAUCAAUUUUUCAUAUUAUUACUCUUUUUCCUUCUAUCCAGUAUAAUUUGUCAUGAAAGAAACUACUAUAUUACUUGGCACGUAUCUGCAAUUACUCUAACACAAAAUAUUAGAUACACUAGCAUUCAUAUAUUAGAACUACUGGUGAUCCCAGGGGAGUAUUGAUAUCCAAUUAGAGAAUUAUUACACUCUUAGAUGGAACUACUAGAUUGUUGCAAUGAACAAGUAGUUUUUCUUUUAUCACUUCUUUUUCUUGCAUUUGUAUGAACAGACAAGGGACUCCUAAAAAUCCUACGUCUUUUCAUUUAUGCAAACAUCUUGGUCUUCUAAUAUGAAUGCUCCUUAGUGUUGUCAAAUGUGUAUCGCAAAUAGCAGUUUGGUCAAAUUCUGCUACACAGCAAUGUUAUAGCUAUUGUUUGACAUCAUUUUGUAAAAUAACUUACCGUGAGCACAAGAUAUUGAUUGUAUUGAGUAUAUUCUUAAUUUUUCAGGGACUUCUUGAAAACAUGAGAGAUACUGCUGACUUGGUUUGGAAAAUGGCAGAGGAGUGUGCUUAGGUUAAUUUUAGUUUGAUUGCUUUGGUGUUUUGAACUCAUCAGCUGGUUGCAGGAAAUGGUAUGCUGGGAGCUUACUGUACUUAGCACCUUUGUAUCAGCAUAAGUUAAUUUGUUUUGGUGGUGAGAGUUAUAUAUUCAGCUAGCUUCUUGAGAUCAUAGAACCUUUGUAUUAGCAUUAGCAUAAGUUUGUUUUGGUGGUGAGAGUUAUAUGUACUUAGCUUCUUGAAUAUUGUUUCUGCCCACACAAAUCUUGUAUAUUAUUCAUGUUAUAUAUUGGAAAUAUUACUUUUUGUCCUCUAUAAAGUUUUAAUAUUAUUUGCUAGUUUUUAA
Molecule: long non-coding RNA, 989 nt
Filed under: Trifolium pratense (red clover)
Lineage: Eukaryota; Viridiplantae; Streptophyta; Magnoliopsida; Fabales; Fabaceae
Description: long non-coding RNA (TPRA_LNC005558)
Source: RNAcentral